This 301-nucleotide ribosomal RNA is filed under the name uncultured bacterium. Its description in RNAcentral is "partial 16S ribosomal RNA". It matches the Rfam family "Bacterial small subunit ribosomal RNA", at positions 509 to 807 of the family's 1533-position model. The record is from RNAcentral.
CAGUCGCCGCGGGAAUACGAAGGGGGCUAGCGUUGCUCGGAAUUACUGGGCGUAAAGGGCGCGUAGGCGGACAAUUAAGUCGGGGGUGAAAGCCCGGGGCUCAACCUCGGAAUUGCCUUCGAUACUGGCUGUCUUGAGUGUGAGAGAGGUGUGUGGAACUCCGAGUGUAGAGGUGAAAUUCGUAGAUAUUCGGAAGAACACCAGUGGCGAAGGCGACACACUGUCUCACUACUGACGCUGAGGCGCGAAAGCGUGGGGAGCAAACAGGAUUAGAUACCCGCGUAGUACCUGUCUCUUAUAC